This 298-nucleotide ribosomal RNA is filed under the name Leptopholcus borneensis. RNAcentral's name for it is "partial 12S ribosomal RNA". Lineage: Eukaryota; Metazoa; Arthropoda; Arachnida; Araneae; Pholcidae. The record is from RNAcentral.
GGUAGUAAUUAAACCAUUAUACAUUGGCGGUCUUAAUUUAUUAGAGGAACUCGCUUUAUAAUCGAAAAUACUCGUUAAUUUUUACUUAACUUAUAUAGCCUAUAUACCGCCGCAUAAAAAUAAUAUCAAUUUUAAAAUCUUAAUAAAUAAACAACCAGGUCAAGGUGUAGCCAAUAGUUAAGAAAAAGUAAGUUACAAUAAAGAAAAUUUAAGGAAGAAAUACAAAAGGUAUUACUAAAAAAGAAUCUAUAAGUACGUAUUAAUUAAAAUUUAAUACUGAAUAAACAAGUAAAGAUGC